ACUCAAGUUGUGUAUCUGCUAAACAUGGACGCAUAGUGAACUGUAGGUUGUUUUAGGUGAGCAUUUGAUAGGGAAGCUCAUAAAGGAUUUACAUACAUGA
This is a non-coding RNA of Thalictrum thalictroides, 100 nucleotides long. Lineage: Eukaryota; Viridiplantae; Streptophyta; Magnoliopsida; Ranunculales; Ranunculaceae. The record is from the annotation of a GenBank genome assembly.